RNAcentral lists this long non-coding RNA (586 nucleotides) under Equus caballus (horse). Its description in RNAcentral is "lncRNA (ENSECAG00000047433.1)". Lineage: Eukaryota; Metazoa; Chordata; Mammalia; Perissodactyla; Equidae. The record is from RNAcentral.
AAAAGCCAGAACGAAAAACAGCCAGUUGCAGAAAAAUAUAUACACGAUGAUAUAUAACGAAAAAAAUACAUAAUGUAGUCCAGAAGAAGGAAGUUGCAGAUGACCCAAAGCUGGGAGACAGAAAAGUGCACAGAAGUGAAAUUUGAAAAGAGCUUGGAAGUUCUGUACUAUUUCCAGAAUGCACCACCUCUUUACUUGGGCCUCGAUUACGAAAUGUAUGCUGUAAAUACUGAACAUCCUAGGAAAUGACGUCAGACUCUUCUGCAAUCCCUUCCGCACACCACUCUCGGGGAUCCCACGAAGAAUCGAGACUUGCCAGCUGGAGGCGCAGUGCUGGCUGGGGCAGGAGCAGACCCAGGCCUGAUAAAGGACAGGAAUCCUGAGGGCGUGGAUACGAAGAGCAGGCCCGAGUUCCAUCAAGCAUUCAGAAACUGCUGAGGAGGAUGGAGACAGGCGAGUGUUCAAAGGUCUGGCAAAGGCCCAGUGCCAGGAGUCACCUGAACUAAGGAGCAUGUGGGCAAGACAAUGAGAAGAACAGGCACCCAGCACCAGUCACAGAGUCCUGCCCUCCGGGGGCAAGCCGGCC